GACGAACGCUGGCGGCGUGCUUAACACAUGCAAGUCGAACGGAAAGGCCCUGCUUUUGUGGGGUGCUCGAGUGGCGAACGGGUGAGUAACACGUGAGUAACCUGCCCUUGACUUUGGGAUAACUUCAGGAAACUGGGGCUAAUACCGGAUAGGAGCUCCUGCUGCAUGGUGGGGGUUGGAAAGUUUCGGCGGUUGGGGAUGGACUCGCGGCUUAUCAGCUUGUUGGUGGGGUAGUGGCUUACCAAGGCUUUGACGGGUAGCCGGCCUGAGAGGGUGACCGGCCACAUUGGGACUAAGAUACGGCCCAGACUCCUACGGGCGGCAGCAGUGGGGAAUAUUGCACAAUGGGCGGAAGCCUGAUGCAGCAACGCCGCGUGCGGGAUGACGGCCUUCGGGUUGUAAACCGCUUUCGCCUGUGACGAAGCGUGAGUGACGGUAACGGGUAAAGAAGCACCGGCUAACUACGUG
RNAcentral lists this ribosomal RNA (468 nucleotides) under uncultured bacterium. Its description in RNAcentral is "partial 16S ribosomal RNA". It matches the Rfam family "Bacterial small subunit ribosomal RNA", at positions 28 to 507 of the family's 1533-position model. The record is from RNAcentral.